RNAcentral lists this ribosomal RNA (582 nucleotides) under Triticum aestivum (bread wheat). RNAcentral's name for it is "partial small subunit ribosomal RNA". Lineage: Eukaryota; Viridiplantae; Streptophyta; Magnoliopsida; Poales; Poaceae. The record is from RNAcentral.
AUUUUUUUUGGUUGGAAUCAAGUUCAAGACAUGUCUUUUGCUGAUUGUGCCAGUAGAGCUGCAAGAGUGGUGGACAUGCAACACAGGGAGGUGAAAGAAGGGAGGAUCAGGAAGGAUGGAGGGAGGUGACAAAGCUGGGAGAAAGGAGGGAGACACCAAGGAAGGUGGCAUGGGAAGAAAGUGAAGUUGUGGCCCAAGGCUAGAGUGUGAUCGUGUAAAAUUGUUACCUUUCCAUCAAUGCUCAGGUUCAUUGUCAUUUUUAAAGUCUGGCACUUGAAGAUCUACACAAUUGUUGUCGAGGAAGAUGAUAAACUCAAUGAGGAUGAUAAUUGGGGUUAUUGUGAAGCUCGAUGUUUGGUGGAGUACUCUCGCGGUAAAGAGGACAAGGCAUGCAAACAUGAGUAACUGAUAGGUUUGUGUAAUCACUUCCAUUUUUUCUAGGAACAUUGAAUAUAAUUGAUUUUGUAAAGAAAGCGGUAGAGAAGACUGUACUUUUGGACCUUCAGGUGAAGCGGGAAUUAUAUCAUUGUGAUAUCAAAUAAUUGUUCAUUGAUUGUUUGAAUGAGUUGUUGACAUAUGAUU